Molecule: long non-coding RNA, 1828 nt
Organism: Chenopodium quinoa (quinoa)
Lineage: Eukaryota; Viridiplantae; Streptophyta; Magnoliopsida; Caryophyllales; Amaranthaceae
Exons: 5
Source: RefSeq, a predicted model, not a curated record
UUGAUGUAUGUGUAACUUCAAUUCUUGAACUUCUUGUUAUUGUUUAUCAUGCUGAUCAUACUUUGGUUUGUUGUAUGAGUGACUUGUGAUGGUUUGCUUCAUUAUGAAUGUUAACAUGAGCUAUUUUGGUUCGGGCAAAUGCUAGUGAUACUACUCAAAUUUAAGCUAUUUUGUUGAUACUAGUCUAGUUUAACUAUUAAGUAGAUUAUUGGAAUGACUUUUUAAUUGUUUAGUUAAUUUUAUAAUUUUUUUGGUGUGUGUGUGUGGGAGGGGAGUGACUGAAGAUAUCUCAUUCUUGUCAUGAUGUGAAGUCUGAUGAAUAGAGCAAGAAGCCCAUAGCUUAGUGGAGCAAGGCUUCAGUUCCCGUGGCUGUGACCUGGGUUCGAGGCUCAUAUCCCCCCUCCCCCGUGGGUAAUACCCCCUUGAUAUUCCUGUGAUAGGAAAUCAAGGUGAAGCCCACCCCUUACCCCUAAAAAAAUGAAGUCUGGUUUGCUUAUUAUGCCAACAUUCCUUCCUCCAAGAAAGAACGGUUAAAUUAUUUUUUCCGUAAGGCAAUUCAUGAGUUGAGUGGUUAUUAUUCAGUCUCUUUAAUGAGGCUAACUAAGGAUAAUUAAGCACAUGCUCUAUAAUUUAUUAAACUAGAUUAUGAUUUAUGCAUCAUUGCUAGAAGAAUUUUUAAGUGUAUACACAAACAGUUAAGACUCAGGAGGUUUCUUUCAUGUGAUUAUUUAUGAACUAAUUGCUACAUUCCUGAACUUGUAGUGUUUUUUCCCCAUCUGUAUAAAGUAAAUAAAUAUCUAGUUUUCAGUUCUUAUGCCUUUACUAGAGAAGAAAAUACUAGUAGUUAUAACUGUUAAUUCACAUAAUGUUUCAUGGUCAGAUCUUUGGUUAUGUUCUUGGUGUUUCCGCUGGGUUUGUUGUUGGUAAGGCCCUAUGGUUCAUACUAGGGCUUGCAUCGCCAAUCUACUUGGUCAGGGUGGCUCUCGCAAGUAUGGUUUGACCUGGAAUUAGCUCAGAUAUUUCAAGAAUGAUAGAGACCGGCGAGAUUGGAUCACCUGUGGUGCUGCAGCUGGAGUGGCUGCUGCUUUUCGUGCUCCUGUUGGUGGUGUACUUUUUUCCCUUGAAGAAGCAGCCUCCUGUAACUCAGUUAGCACAAACUGUGAUGCAUAGUGCUAUUGGAAAAAUGCCACUUGACAGGACCUUUAUGGAGAGAGACACUAUAAAUGCAAACAUUGUGGGUUUCUUCAGCAUCAACAAGUAGGGUGCUUUACUCUUUUUGGCUAAGUUCUUGUUCGUGGCGCGUUCGAUUUGCUUUAAACUUAAAAGGACUUCAAUAUGAGUAAAAAGCAGUUGAUCUUAUCAAAGGGGAGCAAUUUAAUCCAGGUCCUGUAGCAGGUCUUACUCUGGUACAGAUUCUGCUGCAGUCUCUGUUCUGGGUGCUGGAUUUGGUUUGCUGGGUUCUGGCUUUGUUGAGUUCAGGUCUGCUAGGGUCUGGUUUACAGACGCUCGGGUUUCUGGUUUCUGGUUGCUGUGCUGUUCCUGGCUACUAGGAUCUGGUUGCAGGCUCUGGUGCAGUUCAUGUGCUGGAUUUGGUUGCUGCAGGUGUUGGGUGGCUGGCUAUGCUUGGUAUGCUCAUCUGUUUGGAAACCUGCUGCUGGAAGCCUACUGGUUGUGUCUGUUUGGGUUGUUUCUAUUUUUUGUUUCUGUUAGGGUGGGCUGCUGUCUUCUAUUGCAGUGCAUCAUGGUUGGCUAUUUUUGAAGAAAAUAUAUAUGUUAGUGUUUAUAUGUCCAUUUUUUUUUAGUUUUUUAAAGUGUAAUAUUACAAGUU